Molecule: transfer RNA, 85 nt
Filed under: Felis catus (domestic cat)
Lineage: Eukaryota; Metazoa; Chordata; Mammalia; Carnivora; Felidae
Rfam family: tRNA
About the family: Transfer RNA (tRNA) molecules are approximately 80 nucleotides in length.
Source: Rfam by way of RNAcentral
GCCUGGGUGGCUCAGUCGGUUAAGCGUCUGACUUCGGCUCAGGUCAUGAUCUCACGGUUUGUGAGUUCGAGCCCCGCAUCAGGCU